GUUGAGGACUACCCCAAUGGGGCUUUGUCUGUAGACCUAUAUGGUUGGAAACGCCUCAUAGAGUGUAUGUGUGGGUUCCUUUAUUCACAGAACUGUGUGUUAGAUCUGUGGGAAAGAACUACAACAUAUCU
RNAcentral lists this small nucleolar RNA (131 nucleotides) under Zalophus californianus (California sea lion). Lineage: Eukaryota; Metazoa; Chordata; Mammalia; Carnivora; Otariidae. RNAcentral also lists the same sequence under 1 other name. The record is from RNAcentral.